Molecule: ribosomal RNA, 305 nt
Filed under: uncultured bacterium
Lineage: Bacteria
Description: partial 16S ribosomal RNA
Rfam family: Bacterial small subunit ribosomal RNA
Source: RNAcentral
ACAGCAGCCGCCGCGGUAACACGUAGGUGGCAAGCGUUAAUCGGAAUUACUGGGCGUAAAGCGUGCGCAGGCGGUUCGUUAAGACAGAUGUGAAAUCCCCGGGCUUAACCUGGGAACUGCAUUUGUGACUGGCGGGCUAGAGUAUGGCAGAGGGGGGUAGAAUUCCACGUGUGGCAGUGAAAUGCGUAGAGAUGUGGAGGAAUACCGAUGGCGAAGGCAGCCCCCUGGGCCAAUACUGACGCUCAUGCACGAAAGCGUGGGGAGCAAACAGGAUUAGAUACCCCUGUAGUCCCUGUCUCUUAUAC